This 465-nucleotide ribosomal RNA is filed under the name uncultured bacterium. RNAcentral's name for it is "partial 16S ribosomal RNA". It matches the Rfam family "Bacterial small subunit ribosomal RNA", at positions 338 to 795 of the family's 1533-position model. The record is from RNAcentral.
CCUACGGGUGGCUGCAGUAGGGAAUUUUCGUCAAUGGGCGCAAGCCUGAACGAGCGAUGCCGCGUGAGUGAAGAAGGCCUUCGGGUCUUAAAGCUCUGUUGCGGGGGAAAAAAGGCAGCAUCAGGAAAUGGGUGCUGACUGCUGGUGCCCCGCCAGAAAGUCACGGCUAACUACGGCCCAGCAGCCGCGGUAAUACGUAGGUGGCGAGCGUUAUCCGGGAUGAUUGGGCGUAAAGGGUGCGCAGGCGGUCCUGCAAGUCUGGAGUGAAACGCAUGGGCUCAACUCAUGCAUGGCUUUGGAAACUGGAUGACUGGAGAGCAGGAGAGGGCGGUGGAACUCCAGGUGUAGCGGUGAAAUGCGUAGAUAUAUGGCAGAACACCAGUGGCGAAGGCGGCCGCCUGGCCUGUUGCUGACGCUGAGGCACGAAAGCGUGGGGAGCAAAUAGGAUUAGAUACCCGUGUAGUC